RNAcentral lists this ribosomal RNA (253 nucleotides) under uncultured bacterium. Its description in RNAcentral is "partial 16S ribosomal RNA". It matches the Rfam family "Bacterial small subunit ribosomal RNA", at positions 524 to 776 of the family's 1533-position model. The record is from RNAcentral.
UACGUAGGGUGCAAGCGUUAAUCGGAAUUACUGGGCGUAAAGCGUGCGCAGGCGGUUGUGUAAGACAGAUGUGAAAUCCCCGGGCUCAACCUGGGAACUGCAUUUGUGACUGCACAGCUGGAGUGCGGCAGAGGGGGAUGGAAUUCCGCGUGUAGCAGUGAAAUGCGUAGAUAUGCGGAGGAACACCUGUGGUGUAGACAGCUUACUGGACCACUUCUGACGCUGAGACACGAAAGCGUGGGUAGCAAACAGG